Molecule: long non-coding RNA, 897 nt
Filed under: Parus major (Great Tit)
Lineage: Eukaryota; Metazoa; Chordata; Aves; Passeriformes; Paridae
Description: lncRNA (ENSPMJG00000014882.1)
Source: RNAcentral
UUGCCAUAAUACUGUACUGUUUGUUUGACUUUUUUUCAGUGUGGUUACUGUUACUUCAUCCCUGAAGCGUUUCCAAGAGAAACAAGGGAUUGUCCACAAGAUAAUCACCGCUGUGUCUGACUCCUCUGUGUGUAGUAUGGUGUGUCACUAAGAGAGAGGUAUUAUCUACAUGCAGCCUGUGAACAAAAAUCAAGAAUACCCGCUGGGGAUAAAACUUUAUGUGCAAAUUGUUCUGCAAAUGGAUGGUUUCUCCGGAAAGAGUUCCUUGCUGCCAGGUAAAAGAAGCCCUAUGUCUUUUCCAGCAUCUACUCUCUUGAAUGUGAUGAUACCUUCAACACCUUCAGUCUCUUCAGAGGUAGUUUAGGAGAAGGCAGUUCAUGAUUUCUGAACUGGUUCACCUGCACAGCGGGCACCAAGUCCCCUUGUGAGGCUGGGCAUGGUGAGCCCACGCUCCUGUGCUCCCAUAUCCAGCCAGAUCCAGCCAGAGUGCCUGCUGUGAGCUGGACUGUCCCCAUGGCUCAUUUAAUUGUUGCCCUGCCUGCAAUAACUGGCAUGGGUCAAUCUCCCAUCCUACUACAUAAAAGGAGGCAAAGUUCACCAGUGCAGUGCUCCCAUUCUGAAAUAGAACCUUCUUCUCAGGUGCAAAUCCACACUAUGAAAAUGGAUGUUAUGAAAGUGUCAGCUUUGAGGUGGGGACAGUCCCACAGCAUGGGCUGUCAUCUGGCAGGGGCUUCAAUCUCCAAGAAAUACCGAGGAUCUCACACAAGCUCACACAGGAGCCACCAGGACCAGCUUUCAGCAUUUUAUGAUCUUCACAUCUGGCCUGUGGGACACGUGUUGGUGGACUAAGUGCCAAAGCCAAAGAGGAGGAAAGAUGAUGCCUUGGGGUGCUGGAGG